This 497-nucleotide ribosomal RNA is filed under the name uncultured bacterium. RNAcentral's name for it is "partial 16S ribosomal RNA". It matches the Rfam family "Bacterial small subunit ribosomal RNA", at positions 28 to 507 of the family's 1533-position model. The record is from RNAcentral.
GAUGAACGCUGGCGGCGUGCCUAAUACAUGCAAGUCGAGCGAACAGACGAGGAGCUUGCUCCUCUGACGUUAGCGGCGGACGGGUGAGUAACACGUGGAUAACCUACCUAUAAGACUGGGAUAACUUCGGGAAACCGGAGCUAAUACCGGAUAAUAUAUUGAACCGCAUGGUUCAAUAGUGAAAGACGGUUUUGCUGUCACUUAUAGAUGGAUCCGCGCCGCAUUAGCUAGUUGGUAAGGUAACGGCUUACCAAGGCGACGAUGCGUAGCCGACCUGAGAGGGUGAUCGGCCACACGGGAACUGAGACACGGUCCAGACUCCUACGGGAAGCAGCAGUAGGGAAUCUUCCGCAAUGGGCGAAAGCCUGACGGAGCAACGCCGCGUGAGUGAUGAAGGUCUUCGGAUCGUAAAACUCUGUUAUUAGGGAAGAACAAAUGUGUAAGUAACUAUGCACGUCUUGACGGUACCUAAUCAGAAAGCCACGGCUAACUACGUG